This 253-nucleotide ribosomal RNA is filed under the name uncultured bacterium. Its description in RNAcentral is "partial 16S ribosomal RNA". It matches the Rfam family "Bacterial small subunit ribosomal RNA", at positions 524 to 776 of the family's 1533-position model. The record is from RNAcentral.
UACGAAGGGGGCGAGCGUUGUUCGGAAUUACUGGGCGUAAAGGGCGCGCAGGCGGCUCUGAAAGUCAGAUGUGAAAGCCCCGGGCUUAACCUGGGAAUUGCAUUUGAUACUCUGGAGCUUGAGUACGGGAGAGGAGAGUGGAAUUCCCAGUGUAGAGGUGAAAUUCGUAGAUAUUGGGAAGAACACCGGUGGCGAAGGCGGCUCUCUAGUACGGUACUGACGCUGAGACGCGAAAGCGUGGGGAGCGAACAGG